UGGGGAAUAUUGCACAAUGGGCGCAAGCCUGAUGCAGCCAUGCCGCGUGUAUGAAGAAGGCCUUCGGGUUGUAAAGUACUUUCAGCGGGGAGGAAGGUGUUGUGGUUAAUAACCUCAGCAAUUGACGUUACCCGCAGAAGAAGCACCGGCUAACUCCGUGCCAGCAGCCGCGGUAAUACGGAGGGUGCAAGCGUUAAUCGGAAUUACUGGGCGUAAAGCGCACGCAGGCGGUUUGUCAAGUCGGAUGUGAAAUCCCCGGGCUCAACCUGGGAACUGCAUCCGAAACUGGCAGGCUUGAGUCUUGUAGAGGGGGGUAGAAUUCCAGGUGUAGCGGUGAAAUGCGUAGAGAUCUGGAGGAAUACCGGUGGCGAAGGCGGCCCCCUGGACAAAGACUGACGCUCAGGUGCGAAAGCGUGGGGAGCAAACA
RNAcentral lists this ribosomal RNA (427 nucleotides) under uncultured bacterium. RNAcentral describes it as "partial 16S ribosomal RNA". It matches the Rfam family "Bacterial small subunit ribosomal RNA", at positions 355 to 774 of the family's 1533-position model. The record is from RNAcentral.